Molecule: ribosomal RNA, 253 nt
Filed under: uncultured bacterium
Lineage: Bacteria
Description: partial 16S ribosomal RNA
Rfam family: Bacterial small subunit ribosomal RNA
Source: RNAcentral
UACGUAGGGGGCAAGCGUUGUCCGGAUUUAUUGGGCGUAAAGCGCUCGCAGGUGGUUCGUCGCGUCGUGCGUGAAAGACCCCGGCUCAACUGGGGGGUGUCGUGCGAUACGGGCGGACUGGAGGCCAGUAGGGGGAUGCGGAAUUCCGGGUGUAGUGGUGGAAUGCGUAGAGAUCCGGAGGAACACCAGCGGCGAAGGCGGCAUCCUGGACUGGUCCUGACACUCAUGAGCGAAAGCGUGGGGAGCGAUCCGG